This 472-nucleotide ribosomal RNA is filed under the name uncultured bacterium. RNAcentral's name for it is "bacterial SSU rRNA". It matches the Rfam family "Bacterial small subunit ribosomal RNA", at positions 355 to 825 of the family's 1533-position model. The record is from RNAcentral.
UGGGGAAUUUUGGACAAUGGGCGAAAGCCUGAUCCAGCAAUGCCGCGUGCAGGAUGAAGGCCUUCGGGUUGUAAACUGCUUUUGUACGGAACGAAACGGCGAGCUCUAAUAAAGUUUGCUAAUGACGGUACCGUAAGAAUAAGCACCGGCUAACUACGUGCCAGCAGCCGCGGUAAUACGUAGGGUGCGAGCGUUAAUCGGAAUUACUGGGCGUAAAGCGUGCGCAGGCGGUUAUAUAAGACAGAUGUGAAAUCCCCGGGCUCAACCUGGGACCUGCAUUUGUGACUGUAUAGCUAGAGUACGGUAGAGGGGGAUGGAAUUCCGCGUGUAGCAGUGAAAUGCGUAGAUAUGCGGAGGAACACCGAUGGCGAAGGCAAUCCCCUGGACCUGUACUGACGCUCAUGCACGAAAGCGUGGGGAGCAAACAGGAUUAGAUACCCUUGUAGUCCCUGAGCGGGCUGGCAAGGCGCAU